RNAcentral lists this ribosomal RNA (497 nucleotides) under uncultured bacterium. Its description in RNAcentral is "partial 16S ribosomal RNA". It matches the Rfam family "Bacterial small subunit ribosomal RNA", at positions 28 to 507 of the family's 1533-position model. The record is from RNAcentral.
GAUGAACGCUGGCGGCGUGCCUAAUACAUGCAAGUCGAGCGAACAGACGAGGAGCUUGCUCCUCUGACGUUAGCGGCGGACGGGUGAGUAACACGUGGAUAACCUACCUAUAAGACUGGGAUAACUUCGGGAAACCGGAGCUAAUACCGGAUAAUAUAUUGAACCGCAUGGUUCAAUAGUGAAAGACGGUUUUGCUGUCACUUAUAGAUGGAUCCGCGCCGCAUUAGCUAGUUGGUAAGGUAACGGCUUACCAAGGCAACGAUGCGUAGCCGACCUGAGAGGGUGAUCGGCCACACUGGAACUGAGACAGGGUCCAGACUCCUACGGGAGGCAGCAGUAGGGAAUCUUCCGCAAUGGGCGAAAGCCUGACGGAGCAACGCCGCGUGAGUGAUGAAGGUCUUCGGAUCGUAAAACUCUGUUAUUAGGGAGGAACAAAUGUGUAAGUAACUAUGCACGUCUUGACGGUACCUAAUCAGAAAGCCACGGCUAACUACGUG